UCUUAACCAAAGAACAGGGGAAAAAGAAAUCAAAUGCACCCUGCAGUAGAGACAGUCUUGUUGGCUUGGCAGCCCCUGAGAAACAGUGUUAGGUAGUGGAACUAAGGCUUAAGUGAAGGUCAGAGUUUCCUCCUUUCUUCCUGCUCUGGGCCUUAUUCCUUAUCUGAAGGAAGAACUGUUUCUAUAGAGCACGCAUUUUCCCCAACCACCUGAAUUAUGACGUUAAUAACCAGUGACCAGCAGAACAGAGAGAGCUAGCUGAAAGAGACUAGCAUGUUGUCAUCAUUUCAAUGCUAUGCCUCCUCCCCACCCUGGUCUGCUUGGGAGAAGGCCAGAAAGAGGUCAGAAAGAUGUCAUUUCAUGUUUGAUCUACUUCUGAGAUACUUUUUUCUUCAAAUUAUUGUGGCCCAAAUGGACAGACUGGAAGGACUCAGAGAACAACUGCAAGGACUCAGGGAUAGAAGAGCUAAUGCUGUCAAUUCUACAUAGAGAAAAAGAAAAUGGAAAUUUAAAGACUGGAAGGAGACUGCUCCCAGAAGUUGCUCAGAAUUGGCUGCUGCAUGAAUCAAAGUUUCCUUGAGAACAUCAAAAGGCACGCUGCAGAUCCCAGGAGGGCACCUUACGAUUCCAGGAUUACUUCACCCCUGUAUUUGAUAGAUACAUCUAUUGGCUCCGGCUCUGUGCCAGGCAUGGCUCCCAGCAGAACAGAAAAGCAAGGUU
RNAcentral lists this long non-coding RNA (720 nucleotides) under Vulpes vulpes (red fox). RNAcentral describes it as "lncRNA (ENSVVUG00000015851.1)". The record is from RNAcentral. Lineage: Eukaryota; Metazoa; Chordata; Mammalia; Carnivora; Canidae.